This 85-nucleotide transfer RNA is filed under the name Spirochaetales bacterium. RNAcentral's name for it is "tRNA-Leu". It matches the Rfam family "tRNA". From Rfam's summary of the family: Transfer RNA (tRNA) molecules are approximately 80 nucleotides in length. Their secondary structure includes four short double-helical elements and three loops (D, anti-codon, and T loops). Lineage: Bacteria; Pseudomonadati; Spirochaetota; Spirochaetia; Spirochaetales. The record is from RNAcentral.
GCCGAAGUGGUGGAAUCGGUAGACACAAGGGACUUAAAAUCCCUCGGCUGUAUAAGCUGUACGAGUUCAAGUCUCGUCUUCGGCA